RNAcentral lists this long non-coding RNA (313 nucleotides) under Lathyrus oleraceus (garden pea). RNAcentral describes it as "Pisum sativum (pea) long non-coding RNA (PSAT_LNC023246)". Lineage: Eukaryota; Viridiplantae; Streptophyta; Magnoliopsida; Fabales; Fabaceae. The record is from RNAcentral.
CCAUCCUUGCGAACUCUGCGGCGAACCUGAGCUCUGUGUUCUCCUGCUGUAGUCUUCCAACUUCCUUCUGAUGAAUCUUCAUCUGCCUGAAGUAGUGGUCUCUCUCUGCCAUGUAAUGAUCUCUCUCAGCCCUGAUCUUUGCUUUCUCCGCUUCCCACUCUGCAGCGAGGACUCUGGCUCUCUCAUCCCUCUGAUCCCUGACUAGGAUUUGCCUCCUCUUCUCAUCUUCAAUCACCUUUGAUGCUCUGAACAGCUUCUCCUUUGUGAUGUCAUGCUCCCGGUUGGAUGAUGCUAAAGCUUGGCUGAUCUUCCC